UACAGAGGGGGCAAGCGUUGUUCGGAAUUACUGGGCGUAAAGGGCGCGUAGGCGGCCUGUUAAGUCGAACGUGAAAUCCCUCGGCUUAACCGGGGAACUGCGUCUGAUACUGGAUGGCUUGAGUUUGGGAGAGGGAUGCGGAAUUCCAGGUGUAGCGGUGAAAUGCGUAGAUAUCUGGAGGAACACCGGUGGCGAAGGCGGCAUCCUGGACCAACACUGACGCUGAGGAGCGAAAGCCAGGGGAGCAAACGGG
This 253-nucleotide ribosomal RNA is filed under the name uncultured bacterium. RNAcentral describes it as "partial 16S ribosomal RNA". It matches the Rfam family "Bacterial small subunit ribosomal RNA", at positions 524 to 776 of the family's 1533-position model. The record is from RNAcentral.